This 300-nucleotide ribosomal RNA is filed under the name uncultured Halobacteroides sp. RNAcentral's name for it is "bacterial SSU rRNA". It matches the Rfam family "Bacterial small subunit ribosomal RNA", at positions 496 to 795 of the family's 1533-position model. Lineage: Bacteria; Bacillati; Bacillota; Clostridia; Halanaerobiales; Halobacteroidaceae. The record is from RNAcentral.
GUCAUCUGUGGGCCUGCUCACGCGGUAAUUCCAGGUCGGCAAGCUGUAAUCUGAGUUAAUGGGCGUAGCGCGCACCUAGGUGGCUUGGUAAGUUGGAUGUGUAAUCCCCUGGCUUAACUUGGGAAUUGCAUUCAAGACUGCCUUGCUAGAGUGUGGAAUAGGGAAGCGGAAUUCCAGGUGUAGCGGUUAAAUGCGUAGAUAUCUGGAGGAACAUCAGUGGCGAAGUCGGCUUCCUGGUCCAACACUGACACUGAGGUGCGAAAGCGUGGGGAGCAAACAGGAUUAGAUACCCCGGUAGUC